CCCUUAGAUGCUCUGGGCCGCACGCGCGCUACACUGACGAAGUCAGCGAGCAUGUCCUACGCCGACAGGUGCGGGGAAUCUUGUCAAACUUCGUCGUGAUGGGGAUUGAUUUUUGAAAUUCUUGAUCAUAAACGAGGAAUUCCUAGUAAGCGCAAGUCAGCAGCUUGCGCUGAUUACGUCCCUGCCCUUUGUACACACCGCCCGUCGCUACUACCGAUUGAAUGGUUUAGUGAGAUCUUCGGAUUGGCGCCACUGCAGCUCAGCAAUGGGCUUGGUGGAUGCCGAAAAGUUGAUCAAACUUGAUCAUUUAGAGGAAGUAAAAGUCGUAACA
RNAcentral lists this ribosomal RNA (331 nucleotides) under uncultured eukaryote. Its description in RNAcentral is "partial 18S ribosomal RNA". It matches the Rfam family "Eukaryotic small subunit ribosomal RNA", at positions 1470 to 1796 of the family's 1831-position model. The record is from RNAcentral.